Long non-coding RNA from Nycticebus coucang (slow loris), 1546 nucleotides. RefSeq lists it as uncharacterized. Lineage: Eukaryota; Metazoa; Chordata; Mammalia; Primates; Lorisidae. The transcript is spliced from 3 exons. The record is from RefSeq and is a predicted model, not a curated record.
CUGCCAGGAGAGAAGGAAGGAAGGAGGGAGGGGAGGGAAAUGCAGGAGCUCGGGAUCUGCAGGCUCUCCCUGGCCCCGGGAAGCUGCAAAGACCCAGCAUGUGCGGCCAGACCGGCCUGGACGUGCAGGGUCCAGCGGGGCCUGGUACGAGACAGUUUUCAGCUGCAGGGAAAAUCUCAAGAAGUGUUCUUUGGACAUCUAGAGAAGGAAAGGAAAUCAGUUCAGAAUGGUGCUUCCCUUUUCUCCAUCACUCUUGAAAAGAAGGUGGCGGCAGCUGUGGAGCUUUUUUUUUUAAGCUUAGAUUUUUCUAGUCUCACCCAAGAGAACUACAGCAUCAGAAACUGUGUGUGUGUGUGUGCGUGCACGCACAUGUGCAUGGGAAGGAGGGGCGUGGAGAGGGCUGAGCCCCAAUGCAGAUGGGGGCGGGUGAGUUGAAGGCCUGGCAUACUGCAGGCUACCACAAAGGCAUAAAAUCAAUAGAUUUGAACAGAUGUUUAUGAGUUAUGUAUAUAUGUUAAACUUCGUGCUGGGAUGGGUUGUACAAAGCUAAAGUUUAGAUGGGUAAUGGAGAACCAAGAGCCUUAGGGUUAUUUAUACAGGGAGUCAGUUGCCUCUGGGCGAUUAGCGGAGGGAUGGCCCCAGCUAAGCAGUGGGGAAGCAAAAGUGAGUUUGAAGUCACCUUCCUCAACUGGAACAGCUGCUGAAGAAAUUUGCACCCCUUUUAGAUUAACAUUCUAGUCUUGCCUCUGAGAUUUUUCCAAGGUGCAAGAAAGAAAAUCAUCCUAUUCAAUUAAACAUAGGCCCUUGAUGUGAACUCUGCUGCCUGUCAAAGAGAUCACAUAAUUAAUUUUUUAAAUUUCAGUUAUUUGGAAUUCAGCCCAUUUUGGUGAUUAGCCACGUGCUCUUCUUGCUCACACGCCCUCUCUCUUCUGUGUUUCCCAUCUAAGGUUGGGAUAAGAUGGUAAGAUGGUGACGCAGCCUGGAGCAGGUUCUGUGUCGGCCCCAGGUAAGCAGGUGCAGCCCCAGUCAGCUUGCCAGCCUGACUCCCAGCUCCAUCCUCUCUUCACCCCUCAGACAGAUAUCCUAAAAGAGCUGUACAGAAGCGCGUGGAUGUGGAGAGAAGGGAACACUUUUACGCUGCUGGUGGGAAUGCAAACUAGUACAACCUUUCUGGAAGGAAGUAUGGAGAAACCUCAAAGCACUCAAGCUAGACCUCCCAUUCGAUCCUGCAAUCCCAUUACUGGGUAUCUACCCAGAAGGAAAAAAAUCCUUUUAUCAUAAGGACACUUGUACUAGACUGUUUAUUGCAGCUCAAUUUACAAUCGCCAAAAUGUGGAAACAGCCUAAAUGCCUACCAACCCAGGAAUGGAUUAACAAGCUGUGGUAUAUGUAUACCAUGGAAUACUAUUCAGCCAUUAAAAAAAAUGGAGACUUUACAUCCUUCGUAUUAACCUGGAUGGACGUGGAAGACAUUAUUCUUAGUAAAGCAUCACAAGAAUGGAGAAGCAUGAAUCCUAUGUACUCAAUUUUGAUAUGAGGACAAUUA